Molecule: ribosomal RNA, 342 nt
Filed under: Triticum aestivum (bread wheat)
Lineage: Eukaryota; Viridiplantae; Streptophyta; Magnoliopsida; Poales; Poaceae
Description: partial small subunit ribosomal RNA
Source: RNAcentral
AUGGAGGCGAAGAGGUCGAGGCCGCCCACCAUUGCCGCGCUGUGCGUGCUCCUCCUCCUGGUGCUGCUGCCCGGGGAGGUGGCCGCCAAGUCCAAGUUCUGCAAGUGCUUCGACGACUGCUUCCCUGGGUGCACGAACGACCACGUGCCGCGCUUCCUCUGCCAACUGUUCUGCGCCAACAAGUGCAGCCCCAACCAGGCCGCCGUCAGCGGCGACGCCAUGUGCAGGAUGGCCUGCAACAAGCUGAACAUCAAAAUCUGCGGCUGGUCAGCGGCGCCCGCCGAUGCAGCUGAUGCGGCCAGCUGCGAGGAAAACUGCAACAAGAAAUGGAGCCAGAAUUAA